Molecule: ribosomal RNA, 492 nt
Filed under: uncultured bacterium
Lineage: Bacteria
Description: partial 16S ribosomal RNA
Rfam family: Bacterial small subunit ribosomal RNA
Source: RNAcentral
AGUGAACGCUGGCGGUAGGCCUAACACAUGCAAGUCGAACGGCAGCACAGUAAGAGCUUGCUCUUACGGGUGGCGAGUGGCGGACGGGUGAGGAAUACAUCGGAAUCUACUUUUUCGUGGGGGAUAACGUAGGGAAACUUACGCUAAUACCGCAUACGACCUACGGGUGAAAGCAGGGGAUCUUCGGACCUUGCGCGAUUGAACGAGCCGAUGUCGGAUUAGCUAGUUGGCGGGGUAAAGGCCCACCAAGGCGACGAUCCGUAGCUGGUCUGAGAGGAUGAUCAGCCACACUGGAAGUGAGACACGGUCCAGACUCCUACGGGAGGCAGCAGUGGGGAAUAUUGGACAAUGGUCGCAAGCCUGAUCCAGCCAUACCGAGUGGGUGAAGAAGGCCUUCGGGUUGUAAAGCCCUUUUGUUGGGAAAGAAAAGCAGCAGGUUAAUACCCCGCUGUUCUGACGGUACCCAAAGAAUAAGCACCGGCUAACUUCGUG